AACACGUGGGUAACCUGCCUGUAAGACUGGGAUAACUCCGGGAAACCGGGGCUAAUACCGGAUGCUUGAUUGAACCGCAUGGUUCAAUCAUAAAAGGUGGCUUUUAGCUACCACUUACAGAUGGACCCGCGGCGCAUUAGCUAGUUGGUGAGGUAACGGCUCACCAAGGCGACGAUGCGUAGCCGACCUGAGAGGGUGAUCGGCCACACUGGGACUGAGACACGGCCCAGACUCCUACGGGAGGCAGCAGUAGGGAAUCUUCCGCAAUGGACGAAAGUCUGACGGAGCAACGCCGCGUGAGUGAUGAAGGUUUUCGGAUCGUAAAACUCUGUUGUUAGGGAAGAACAAGUACCGUUCGAAUAGGGCGGCACCUUGACGGUACCUAACCAGAAAGCCACGGCUAACUACGUGCCAGCAGCCGCGGUAAUACGUAGGUGGCAAGCGUUGUCCGGAAUUAUUGGGCGUAAAGCGCGCGCAGGCGGUUUCUUAAGUCUGAUGUGAAAGCCCCCGGCUCAACCGGGGAGGGUCAUUGAAAACUGGGGAACUUGAGUGCAGAAGAGGAGAGUGGAAUUCCACGUGUAGCGGUGAAAUGCGUAAAGAUGUGCAGGAACACCAGUGCCGAAGGCGACUCUCUGGUUUGUAACUA
Molecule: ribosomal RNA, 646 nt
Filed under: Bacillus licheniformis
Lineage: Bacteria; Bacillati; Bacillota; Bacilli; Caryophanales; Bacillaceae
Description: bacterial SSU rRNA
Rfam family: Bacterial small subunit ribosomal RNA
Source: RNAcentral